CAGGGAGGGGGAGGGGGUGCCCAAGGUCACCUGUGAGCUGUAGCGCAGUUCAAUUAGAAUCUCUGGCCUCUCCUAGGGAACUGGGCAGUGUCCUGGGUGGAAUGUGUGAGAGUCCUGGAUGGGCUCCAUGAGGCGGGAUUGCUGAGGCCCAAAGAGAGGGAGGGCCCCUGAUGACCCAGACCAGAAGUCAGGCUGCCGCCACCUAGACCCAAGCUGGACAUCCUUUGCCCUUGCAGAGAAAGACCCUAAAAAGAAAUGAGGGGCCUCUCCAGACUGGUUGGGAGCCAUGCCAACUGCCUUCUGGGUUUUAUAGAUCUUGGGGAUUAUCUGCAUCACUGGAGAAGUUAUCUAGAUGGUGCCUCACCAUGCAUCUGGUAUCCAAAACAUUGUCAAGAGUGUUUGUCUUCGGAGAGGGAAACCAGAUGUCUGGCGAAUAAGGAGGGGAGACUGACUUUUCACUGUUUCUGUUUUGUGCUGCUUGGAUUUUAUACCAGGGCUCUGCAUUAUCCAUCUAAGAACUUAAACGCAUUUCUUAAAAAUCACCCAGUUUAAAUAACAAACUUUAAAGUGAGCUCUUGAUCA
Long non-coding RNA from Felis catus (domestic cat), 582 nucleotides. RefSeq lists it as uncharacterized. NCBI's taxonomy places the organism in Eukaryota, Metazoa, Chordata, Mammalia, Carnivora, Felidae. The transcript is spliced from 3 exons. The record is from RefSeq and is a predicted model, not a curated record.